This 332-nucleotide ribosomal RNA is filed under the name uncultured eukaryote. RNAcentral describes it as "partial 18S ribosomal RNA". It matches the Rfam family "Eukaryotic small subunit ribosomal RNA", at positions 1470 to 1796 of the family's 1831-position model. The record is from RNAcentral.
CCCUUAGAUGUCCUGGGCUGCACGCGCGCUACACUGGAAGUUACGGAUUGAGAUACUACCUUGUCCGAAAUGGUCCGGGUAAUCACCUAAAAGCUUGUCAUAAUUGGAAUGGAUUAUUGUAACUAGUAAUCCUGAACGAGGAAUUCCUAGUAAGUCCCAGUCAACAGCUGGUACUGAUUACGUCCCUGCCCUUUGUACACACCGCCCGUCGCUACUACUGAUUGGACGUUUAAGCAAGAUUUUUAAACACUGGCAGUGUGUAGUUCACGCUAUACUACAGUGAGAAGAAGAAGAUCGAGCUUACUUGUCUAGAGGAAGUAAAAGUCGUAACA